Molecule: long non-coding RNA, 554 nt
Filed under: Trifolium pratense (red clover)
Lineage: Eukaryota; Viridiplantae; Streptophyta; Magnoliopsida; Fabales; Fabaceae
Description: long non-coding RNA (TPRA_LNC000577)
Source: RNAcentral
UUAUUUUCGUUUUUUUUUUGCUAUUACUAUGUGCUACUUUUUUCUGGCGAAGACAAAAAUAAAAUAAUUGUGGCUGUUUAAUAAUGUAACAUAAACAGAAGUAUAAAUAAGUUGUUUUUUCUUUUUCAGUUUCUGAAUUAUUUAUUUCUAGGUAAGAAUAGUGAUCAAACUAUUCUCUUUUAUACAUUUUCAAACAAAAACAAAUGUCAGAUGCAGGUCUUCUUUCUAAUACACUUGCACUGGAUGCAAUUCACGAUAUUGUUCCCUCCCAUGUUAUAAAGUAAAGUUACCUCGAAAUUGAUUUGUGUUGUUUCUUAUGUUUGAUUUUUGUUGCAAAGCUAUGGUGACCAAACACCAUUAACUAUUUGAUUUUACGUAAUGUUUAUGACACACUAGCAUGUCAAGACUAUAUUCUACAAUUGUUGUUUACAUAACAUUUACUGAUUGAGGAAGUAUGCUUACUUUGUUCCCAGUGUCACGGCCUAGUUUCUGUGCCUACUUUACUUGGUCAAUGAUCCAAAGGUAGUAUAUGGGGUGAGAUUGAAAUGCAGNNN